RNAcentral lists this long non-coding RNA (1391 nucleotides) under Anser cygnoides (Swan goose). RNAcentral describes it as "lncRNA (ENSACDG00005019170.1)". The record is from RNAcentral. Lineage: Eukaryota; Metazoa; Chordata; Aves; Anseriformes; Anatidae.
CCACCUGGCUGUAAAGUUUUAUGUAGUCAAACUGUUUCACAGUGAGAACAAUCAUAGUGUGAUCUUAAAUGGGGCAAGAGAGAUAAGUCUAAUUGCUCAUUUGAGCAGACUCUUAUAGAUUUCUUGAAGAAGAAGAAAUAAAACCUGCAGGUAUGGCAGAGAGAACAAAGCGUAGGAAAAAAAAUAUCAUUUGUUGCAAUAUUUAUUUUGCCAUCCAGCAUAUAAAUACUACAUGAGUUAGGGAGAGCACUACACUUCUCUUAGCCAUGGGAUCUAGCAAGCAGUGCUGUCUGUUGGUUUUGGGGUUUUGCAGUUCCCAGAGCUGUUACAUCAUUUAAUACCAUGUUGUUAGUUGUCACACCUGGUUACCGUGGUUUACAUCAGCUACGUCGUGUGAUGUCUCAUGGAAAUUGGCAGCAGCUGGGGAAAUGUUAAAUAAGUGCAGGCAAACCCUGCACUGGCCAUUUUUUUCAGUCUCUGGGGCUGGAGGUUCCCGAGCAGGGGAGUCUCUGGGGGCUCGCCUGGGGCAGGCACUGCCAGCAUGGGCUGGGCUCUUCCCGUGGUGGCUGGGGACCGGUGCAUGGUGCCUGGUGGCCAGCAGUGUCCAGACCUCGGGCCCGGGGUAGGAAGAGUCCUGCUGUACUGCCAGCAUCAGCAGGAAGCGAGCUGGUACAAAGCAUAGCAGAAAGCUUUGAGAAAACUGCUAAAAUUCUGAAACGCACGUGGUGUGGUUCGUGGAAGGCAGGUUUUCUAUAGGUUUGUUCCUGUACCGCAGCAGUCUGGUUCGGGCAAUGUGUUUCCCCCCGUGGUGCAGUGGCUGCAGAACCGCGCUGACAUCUCCGUCCUGCUCUCCAUGUCCUCGCGCAGCUCAACAGCUCGUGCUCUCGCCCUCGCUGCAAAAGACUGCUUCGUCUUUUGUCUCCUCCCGAGGAGCAGGCACCGUGUCCAGCUGGCCAGUCCUCUGGAGCAGAGGUGCCCUCCUUACCACGGCAUACAACAGACGUGUCAGAAAGCCACAGCACUGCAUCUGCAGCUCUAAAACGUAUUACAGGGGCAAGGAUGGAGUGGCAGUGCUGUUUCCUGUGCUGUACCUGCCACAGCCUGGUACGUCUGUGCUGUUACUCGGUAUGCCAGCACCGUCCCUGGGCACGCCUGGUCCUGCAGUCAGGGUUUUGUCACCACAUUGCCUGCCCCUGAACAAGGGCCAAAGGUGUUUCAAAUUCUUUGGUUUCCGGCCUCACAGCACUGUUGACGUUUUGACCACCUUAGCUGUUGACACUGUAACUGGGACGAUGGCCUCACCCAGCUACCCUGUGACUUCCCCUGCUUUGCUAUUUCACGUGGUUAUGGUACAGUGGCACGUUCCUUCCCCCUGUAAACACUGCACGUGA